Molecule: ribosomal RNA, 465 nt
Filed under: uncultured bacterium
Lineage: Bacteria
Description: partial 16S ribosomal RNA
Rfam family: Bacterial small subunit ribosomal RNA
Source: RNAcentral
GACGAACGCUGGCGGCGUGCUUAACACAUGCAAGUCGUACGGUAAGGCCCUUUCGGGGGUACACCAGUGGCGCACGGGUGAGUAACACGUGAGUAACCUGCCCACAACUUUGGGAUAACGCUAGGAAACUGGUGCUAAUACUGGAUAUGUGCCCCUGCUGCAUGGUGGGGGUUGGAAAGCUCCGGCGGUUGUGGAUGGACUCGCGGCCUAUCAGCUUGUUGGUGGGGUAGUGGCCUACCAAGGCGGCGACGGGUAGCCGGCCUGAGAGGGUGACCGGCCACAUUGGGACUGAGAUACGGCCCAGACUCCUACGGGAGGCAGCAGUGGGGAAUAUUGCACAAGGGGCGCAAGCCUGAUGCAGCAACGCCGCGUGCGGGAGGACGGCCUUCGGGUUGGAAACCGCUUUCAGCAGGGACGAAGCUUUUUGUGACGGUACCUGCAGAAGAAGCACCGGCUAACUACGUG